UCAAUUUGAAGGCGAACACAUGCUGCUUACAACCAUAAUACUCACUUUAAGGUCAUAUUUGGGUUACAGGUUUUGUCAUUUUUUGUUAAAAUCUUUACUAACCUUUUUUAUAAUAGAUAUUCUUUUGGUUGGAUCUUCAUGUGCGUUUGAGUUUUUGUCUUAUAUCAAGUUAAAGGUCAUGUCUUUGUAUGGAAUUUGAAGGUUGAAAGAGCAUCACAUACUCCGCUAUUUCUAAGGAAAGAGAGGUCUUUAAGGUAUUAUUUCUGGUUUGAGAAAGGAACGACCCAGUAAGUUGAACCCUUUUAUAUAUUUUUGCUCCCCAAAUCAAAUGUUUUGUUUUCGUUUUCUUUAGGUAUAGAGAACUUGGUGAUGCUACGAUUUGAUGAGGAAAGCCACGAAUCAAGCAAAAAACUUUGAAAAUCAUAUAGACAAUAUCAACUUUCUAUGAUAAUUAUACGCAAUUAUGAUGUUUAGAUAGUACAUUAUAGCGGAUCCAGCCAUGUUCAUAAGUGGGGUGCAUAGGCAAGGCGGCUAUAAUCUCCUAGGGUCAAUGAAUCAAAAAUAGAAAAUAUUUAUAGAUUAUCUAAUUUGAACAAGGUAACUUGUCCUGUUGUUGAGAAGGAUGAGGAGAAGCUAAAUCUAGAAGUCGAAAUUGCCCUCGUCGUUAAGUAAAGUUCUCAAGCAUUGAUAUGUAAACCAACCCCUUUCUAUCUCUCUUUAUCUGUGUGUUUGCAAAAAUAAAACCCUUUCUAUCUCUCUUCCGUGAUUAAUUUUUUGUUAAAUCAAGCAUCUGCGAGUUUUUGUCAUUUCUGGAAUCUUCAGUUAUUUUUCUAUGCUCUAACAUUUGUUUAUUUUCUCACUUUAGAUUAAUCUCAAGUAGCCAUUGAUAUACAUUUCUAUCUCGUUUAAUUAACUAUGAGUAAAGGUUUAUAUAUCUUGAGUACUUGGUGAUUAUGCUUAACAUGGAAGUGAGCAUCUAACAAAUUAUAUGUUUUUCUGUAUUUUAAUUUGCAUCAAAGUUUUUUGUUGUGAUAAUUUGCAGAAUAAGAAAGUUUGCAGGAUUAGGUGUGUCAACUUUGAGUGCAAAAGUGAAAUCAUCUUCAACCACUAAAGAAAACGUCAUGGACUGGGCUAAACUUGGAAUGUUUCUCGAUAAUCGUUUGGAAUGUUUCUCGAUAAUCGUUUGUGUAAUAAUUGAAUUUGGUUGUAAGAUUUGGGUUCAUAUAUUGUAAGUGCUUUUACUUGUCAUUGCCAUACUCAAUAUAGGAGUAAUAGGACACUAUGAUUGUUGUUCCAACUCAAAUAUAGUGAUGUUGGUAGCGUUGGUUCUUUUUGAACUGUAUUUCCUUUUCUUGUAACUACUUUUUAAAAGUACAAUAUUGGAAGGAUGAUGGAA
This is a long non-coding RNA of Lactuca sativa (garden lettuce), 1396 nucleotides long. RefSeq lists it as uncharacterized. The record is from RefSeq and is a predicted model, not a curated record. NCBI's taxonomy places the organism in Eukaryota, Viridiplantae, Streptophyta, Magnoliopsida, Asterales, Asteraceae.